CCUGAGGUGGCUCAGAUGGUAAAGAAUCUGCCUGCAAUGCAGGAGACCCAGGUUCAAUCCCUGGGUCAGGA
This 71-nucleotide transfer RNA is filed under the name Bos taurus (domestic cattle). It matches the Rfam family "tRNA". From Rfam's summary of the family: Transfer RNA (tRNA) molecules are approximately 80 nucleotides in length. The record is from Rfam by way of RNAcentral. Lineage: Eukaryota; Metazoa; Chordata; Mammalia; Artiodactyla; Bovidae. RNAcentral also lists the same sequence under 2 other names.